CCUUAUACAGACACAUCACCUUCACUUUGGGAUGUGGAAUUUGCUAAGUAAGCCACAGAAAAUGAACAUCCCUUCAGAAUGGGUUUGAAGAGCUGAUCCAGUGGAUUAAAGAGGGGAAACUGGGAGUUCCCAAUUAACAAUGAAGCAGGAGCUGACUAAGGCUUUGAAACAGAAACCAGAUGAUGCACAAUAUUAUUGUCAAAGAGCUUAUUGUCACAUUCUUCUUGGGAAUUACUGUGUUGCUGUUGCCAACACAAAGAAGUCUUGUGAACUCAAUCCAAAUAAUUCCACUGCUAUGCUGAGAAAAGGGGGCUGGCGGCAUGGAGUCUUGCUCUGUCACCCAUCCUUGAGUGCAAUGGCACCAUCUUAGUUCACUGCAGCCUUGAAUUCCAGGGCUCGAGCCAUCCUUCUGCCUCUGCCUCCUGAGUAGGUGGGACUACAGGCAUGUGCCACCAUACUGAGCUAAUUUGUUAAACACUUUUUUUGUAGAGACGAGGUCUUGCUACGUUUCCCAGACUGGUCUCUGAACUCCCGGCCUCAAGUGAUCCUACUGCCUUGGCCUCCCAAA
This 568-nucleotide long non-coding RNA is filed under the name Pan troglodytes (chimpanzee). RNAcentral describes it as "long non-coding RNA NONPTRT004489". Lineage: Eukaryota; Metazoa; Chordata; Mammalia; Primates; Hominidae. The record is from RNAcentral.